CGUGCUUUUGUCUCCCAGGAGGAACUGCCGGAGCCCUUUGAGCAUCUUCUGCAGAGAAUCGCCCGGAGACCCAAGCCUCAGCAGUUCUUUGGAUUAAUGGGCAAACGGGAUGCUGUUCCUCAAUUGAAAAACAAGUGGCCCUGUUAAAGGCUCUUUAUGACAUGGCCAGAUCUCUCACAAAAACAUAAAACAGAUUCCUUUGUUGGACUAAUGGGCAAAAGAGCUUUAAAUUCUGGGCUUAUGAAAGGAGUGCAAUGCA
This 259-nucleotide long non-coding RNA is filed under the name Homo sapiens (human). RNAcentral's name for it is "HSALNT0126033". The record is from RNAcentral. Lineage: Eukaryota; Metazoa; Chordata; Mammalia; Primates; Hominidae.